Maylandia zebra (zebra mbuna) is the source of this 250-nucleotide non-coding RNA. The record is from RefSeq and is a predicted model, not a curated record. Lineage: Eukaryota; Metazoa; Chordata; Actinopteri; Cichliformes; Cichlidae.
CUGCUCCACUUGUUCCAAGGCUUUUUACACAACUUGACCAAUACACUGACCAGCUCAUAAAAGUCUUCAAGAAAAAAGGAGGCGUUGCAGGGAAGAAAAUUAGACAAACUUUGGCCCCAGCCACACAGAAGGAAACUAUUGAAAAGGGGAGGGAGUGUGUCCUCAGGGCACUACCUUUUUACCUGAAUGAAGACCCAAGCAUCCUCUUCAAAGAAUAAUUGCUACAGCUGUUCAGAGGGAGCUGGAACAA